AUGCUAGGAAGUUUCUCAUAUGAUGAUAAACUUCAAUUAGAAGGACGACUCUAGUGAGACUAGCAAGUUGCCAUUCUCAAAGGGAACGUACCCUUUGACUCCCAAAGAAAUAAUGCGUAAAUAGAAUCCUUUAUGCAUACACAGAGAGGUGAUUUAUAUAUUUCGUAUUGUAUGAAAAAUAUUGAUAUGAGUUGUACCUAGAAAGGUACAAGACGAUAUCAGUGCAAGCGCAGGAUCAGAACCACGACAACUGUCAAGUGAGUCCUUAAGUAUUUAAGAAAUACUAAAGGAUAGAUUCCUCAAAGAAUGAGGAAGAAUUAGAGUAACGUAAUGGAAGCGUAAAUGUAUUAGAUUAUGAAUCUAAUCCAUCAUAUUUCUUCAUUAUGAAUGAAGAGAUAAUCAGAUAUCUCUUUAUUAUGACUAAAGAGAUAUUUGGAUGGAAACAUUAAAAGUAAUGACUUUAGUGUGUUCCAUUAUGAAUGCAAAAUAUAUUGCCAUAUAGAAGCUUACAACAAUGUUGUUUGGAUGGGAAAGUUCAUUUAUGAACUCUCUAUUCGGUUCCAACCAGAAAGUGUCUCUAGUGUACCAACACUACGACACUAAUGGGGCGAUAGCUCAAGCCAGGGAAUCAAGGUCUCAUCAAGAUCCAAACUCAAAUGAGAGACUGAACCACAUGAUUAAGAAUCAUGUAUAAUGGUGACGUCGUUAUUCUCAAGGUUGCUUCUAUGGAUAACAUAUAGAUAUCCAUUGUCUAGGCCUACUACUCAGCCAUUUAUGAAAUGACUACAGAAGAGGUAUCAUCACUGAUGACCAAGCUGAUUGGCUCUAGUGCAAGUGGGAGAUUGUUGGAAAUGUGCCCUAAAACCAAUCAUAUGAUGAUACUUUACGGACAUUUCACAUGUUAAACUAAUCUAGUUUAAUAUUAAGGGCAAAGAUUAUUGUUUGAGCCGUCUCAUAUAAAUAUUAUACGCUUAAACGAUAAGUCCAAGGAAUAUGUGAUUGGGAGAAUGAUGCGUAAAAUAACUAAACACACAAAUUAAACCCUCUUGUUGACAAUUGUAGUAUAUGUAUAAGUAGGGAUCGUUCUUAAACCGGGGAUUAUGAGGGAUUGCUAAACAUUCUAAACUGACUCAAAUAGAUAAAACUAAGCUUUAAAACACUAAACUAGACUCAAAAGACUCAAAACAAACUCAAAAGACUCAAAACAAGCUAAAAACACUCAAAAUUGCCUAAAAACACAAACUGGGCAGUUUUGAGCUCUAAACAUAAUUUGGACGAAAUUUGGGUUUCUAAAGGCUCAAAACACUUAAAAACACAAUCUAAGACAAGUUCUAACUAAUAUGACUUAACAAAGUAAAGGGUGUUUGGUUUUGGACGAAAAUAAGUAAAUUAAAACAAGAACAAUUUAAACAGAUUCUUAAGCA
RNAcentral lists this long non-coding RNA (1424 nucleotides) under Malus domestica (apple). RNAcentral's name for it is "long non-coding RNA (MDOM_LNC019939)". The record is from RNAcentral. Lineage: Eukaryota; Viridiplantae; Streptophyta; Magnoliopsida; Rosales; Rosaceae.